This 490-nucleotide ribosomal RNA is filed under the name uncultured bacterium. Its description in RNAcentral is "partial 16S ribosomal RNA". It matches the Rfam family "Bacterial small subunit ribosomal RNA", at positions 30 to 507 of the family's 1533-position model. The record is from RNAcentral.
AUUGAACGCUGGCGGCAGGCCUAACACAUGCAAGUCGAACGGUAACAGGAAACAGCUUGCUGUUUCGCUGACGAGUGGCGGACGGGUGAGUAAUGUCUGGGAAACUGCCUGAUGGUGGGGGAUAACUACUGGAAACGGUAGCUAAUACCGCAUAACGUCGCAAGACCAAAGAGGGGGACCCUCGGGCCUCUUGCCAUCGGAUGUGCCCAGGUGGGAUUAGCUUGUUGGUGGGGUAACGGCUCACCAAGGCGACGAUCCCUAGCUGGUCUGAGAGGAUGACCAGCCACACUGGAACUGAGACACGGUCCAGACUCCUACGGGAGGCAGCAGUGGGGAAUAUUGCACAAUGGGCGCAAGCCUGAUGCAGCCAUGCCGCGUGUAUGAAGAAGGCCUUCGGGUUGUAAAGUACUUUCAGCGGGGAGGAAGGGAGUAAAGUUAAUACCUUUGCUCAUUGACGUUACCCGCAGAAGAAGCACCGGCUAACUCCGUG